GAUGAACGCUAGCUACAGGCUUAACACAUGCAAGUCGAGGGGAAACGACAUCGCAAGCUUGCUUUUGAUGGGCGUCGACCGGCGCACGGGUGAGUAACGCGUAUCCAACCUGCCCAUCACUUGGGAAUAACCUUGCGAAAGUAAGACUAAUACCCAAUGAUAUCCCACGAAGGCAUCGGAAUGGGAUUAAAGAUUUAUCGGUGAUGGAUGGGGAUGCGUCUGAUUAGCUUGUUGGCGGGGUAACGGCCCACCAAGGCAACGAUCAGUAGGGGUUCUGAGAGGAAGGCCCCCCACAUUGGAACUGAGACACGGUCAAAACUCCUACGGGAGGCAGCAGUGAGGAAUAUUGGUCAAUGGGAGAGAGCCUGAACCAGCCAAGUAGCGUGCAGGAAGACGGCCCUAUGGGUUGUAAACUGCUUUUAUAAGGGAAUAAAGUGGGUAACGUGUGACUUUUUGCAUGUACCUUAUGAAUAAGGACCGGCUAAUUCCGUG
This 492-nucleotide ribosomal RNA is filed under the name uncultured bacterium. RNAcentral's name for it is "partial 16S ribosomal RNA". It matches the Rfam family "Bacterial small subunit ribosomal RNA", at positions 28 to 507 of the family's 1533-position model. The record is from RNAcentral.